ACCCAGCUCAGUUGGCAGAGCAGAAGACUCGUAAUCUUAGGGUCAAGGGUUUGAGCCCCAUGUUGGGCG
Non-coding RNA from Podarcis lilfordi (Lilford's wall lizard), 69 nucleotides. NCBI's taxonomy places the organism in Eukaryota, Metazoa, Chordata, Lepidosauria, Squamata, Lacertidae. The record is from the annotation of a GenBank genome assembly.